GUCAGUUAAAAACAUCACAGAAAAUUCAAGAGUAGUGUCCAUUUAUGCUGAAUGUCUUACCAUUACAGUAACAUAUUAACGUUGCAUACAUCAGAAUCAGAAUCAGGGUUUAUUGCCAAGUACAUUUACACAUACAAGGAAUUUGACUUGGUGUAUUGGUGCUAAACAAUUAACAAGGAAAUAAAGCAGAACUAGCAACAACUUAAAUAAUACAGUAUAAGAAGCUAUUACAAUAUAUAUAUAAUAGAAUUUAAAAAUGUAAAAUAUAAAACA
Molecule: long non-coding RNA, 273 nt
Organism: Labrus mixtus (cuckoo wrasse)
Lineage: Eukaryota; Metazoa; Chordata; Actinopteri; Labriformes; Labridae
Exons: 2
Source: RefSeq, a predicted model, not a curated record